Long non-coding RNA from Mizuhopecten yessoensis (Yesso scallop), 465 nucleotides. RefSeq lists it as uncharacterized. Lineage: Eukaryota; Metazoa; Mollusca; Bivalvia; Pectinida; Pectinidae. The transcript is spliced from 3 exons. The record is from RefSeq and is a predicted model, not a curated record.
CUAGAAAUAUUUAUUAUUCUUAAUGCAAUAAAGACCAUGGGAAGUGAUGAUAAAGGAAAUGCGCAGAAAGGAUGGCAAUGUGUGUGAAUGCGUGAUGUAUACCAUCAAAUGAUGUGACAGAAAAUAAUAAAACAAUAGCAAUUUCCUGUCACCUGAAAACUAACGGGACAAUUUGCAUACUGUCGUUGUAUCUUGGGUCACCUUUGUGGUUGGAUGUAAAUUAGAUGUGGCCGCUCCCAUGGUGUAGGACGUCACAAGGUACAGUUCUGGUGUUUCUCGGUCAAGUAACUCGGGAAACAAAGCACUAUGAUAAGGCAUUAGAAAAUUAUGGUCUGGACAGAAUUUCAACACUGAUGUCAGAAUUUUUAAAAGCUUCCGCCAAACAAUGAUAUGAAGAUGUAUUGGGAUGGAUUAAAACAGGUUUGCAGUACAGUGGCUGUCUGCUAGAGCUGUAGUAGAUGGGAU